This is a non-coding RNA of Triticum aestivum (bread wheat), 104 nucleotides long. NCBI's taxonomy places the organism in Eukaryota, Viridiplantae, Streptophyta, Magnoliopsida, Poales, Poaceae. The record is from Rfam.
CAUCUACUCCUUCCGUUCGAAAUUACUUGUCACAGAAAUGGAUGUAUCUACAUCUAGAUACAUCCAUUUCUGUGACAAGUAAUUUCGAACGAAGGGAGUAGCAG